This 341-nucleotide unclassified non-coding RNA is filed under the name Hevea brasiliensis (rubber tree). Lineage: Eukaryota; Viridiplantae; Streptophyta; Magnoliopsida; Malpighiales; Euphorbiaceae. The record is from RNAcentral.
UCAUUUCCUUGGCCAUCAUUUGCCACCUUAAGUACUGAAGUCUUAUUAGGUUCAACCAUUUGAUAAGCUGGGUGAACUUCAUAUCCUUCACCAUCAUUUGCCUGGACCUGCACCUGAAAGUUGCAUGGAACGUUAUGAGGCUGAACCAUACGAUUAGCCAAGUCAAAUUUAUUUCCUUGGACAUCAUUUGCCUCUUCCACUAGAAUUUUCUGAUGCUGAACCAUUUGACCAGCCGAGUGAAACUCAUUUCCUUGGCUACCAUUCGCAUCCUCUUCUACUGGAAUGUUACUAGGUUCAAGCACUUGAUAAGCUGGGUGAGAUUCAUUUCCUUGGCCAUCAUU